RNAcentral lists this unclassified non-coding RNA (344 nucleotides) under soil metagenome. RNAcentral's name for it is "partial contains 5.8S ribosomal RNA, internal transcribed spacer 2, and large subunit ribosomal RNA". The stretch from base 1 to 120 matches the Rfam family "5.8S ribosomal RNA", at positions 35 to 154 of the family's 154-position model. The record is from RNAcentral.
GAUGAAGAACGCAGUGAAAUGCGAUACGUAAUGUGAAUUGCAGAAUUCAGUGAAUCAUCGAGUCUUUGAACGCACAUUGCGCCCUCUGGUAUUCCGGAGGGCAUGCCUGUCCGAGCGUCAUUGCUGCCCUCAAGCACGGCUUGUGUGUUGGGCUCCGUCCCCCGAUCCCGGGGGACGGGCCCGAAAGGCAGCGGCGGCACCGCGUCCGGUCCUCGAGCGUAUGGGGCUUUGUCACCCGCUCUGUAGGCCCGGCCGGCGCUUGCCGAUCAACCAAAUUUUUAUCCAGGUUGACCUCGGAUCAGGUAGGGAUACCCGCUGAACUUAAGCAUAUCAUAAGCGGAGGA